UACGGGGGGAGCAAGCGUUGUUCGGAUUUACUGGGCGUAAAGGGCGCGUAGGCGGCCACCGCAAGUCGACUGUGAAAUCUCCGGGCUUAACCCGGAAAGGUCAGCCGAUACUGCGGGGCUAGAGUGCAGAAGGGGCAACUGGAAUUCUCGGUGUAGCGGUGAAAUGCGUAGAUAUCGAGAGGAACACCUGCGGCGAAGGCGGGCUGCUGGGCUGACACUGACGCUGAUGCGCGAAAGCUGGGGUAGCGAACAGG
RNAcentral lists this ribosomal RNA (254 nucleotides) under uncultured bacterium. Its description in RNAcentral is "partial 16S ribosomal RNA". It matches the Rfam family "Bacterial small subunit ribosomal RNA", at positions 524 to 776 of the family's 1533-position model. The record is from RNAcentral.